GGCGAAAGGGAGGGAGAAACGCGCCGGGGAGUAGAAGAGUAUUCAGUCUUCUUUCCCUUUCCCUACAAGUACCCUAACCCUGAAGGAGAGGGGGAGAAGGAAGGAGGAGAAAGGGUCGGGGAAUAGGGCACCCACCUGAGCGGAUCAUGUGGCCUGAGUUGACGGGCUCCCCAGUGCGAGGAUGCAGCCAAGUAGUUGAGCGGGUCAGGUCGCUAAGGAGGGAGAAGCGGCAAACAUGCACCUGUUAGAGCCUGUUGUGAGGGAAGUCGGGAAGGAGAGAGAAGAGCGGAGAGAAAGAGCGAAUGAAGCGGCAAAACACCCCCCUCCCCACCCCCGUCUCCUUUUCCAGCUUGCCGCCUUACUCGAUGAAGAAGACCCGGCCAUCUCUACAGACGCCAUAGGUCCAGUGCUCAGUGUCUAUGUAUGGAUGUGAAAGUUGGACAGUGAAAAAAGCAGAUAAGAGAAAAAUCAACUCCUUUGAAAUGUGGUGUUGGAGGAGAGCUUUAUGAAUACCAUGGACUGCAAAAAAAGACAAAGAAUUGGGUGUUAGAACAAAUUAAACCAGAACUAUCACUAGAAGCUAAAAUGAUGAAACUGAGGUUAUCAUACUUCGGACACAUAAUGAGAAGACAUGAUUCACUUGAAAAGACAACAAUACAGUACUGGGGAAAACAGAAGGAAGUAGAAAAAGAGGAAGGCCAAACAAGAGAUGUAUUCCAUAAAGAAAGCUACAGACCUGAACUUACAAGAUAUGAACAGGGUGGUUCAUGACAGAUGCGGUUAGAGGUUGCUGAUUCAUAGGGUCACCAUAAAUCUUAAUCGACUUGAAGGCACAUAACAACAACAAAUUAUUUUAGAAGUCCAGGCAACACUUUCUGUCCCACAAAAGCCUGCUGUUCCUUGUUCAGUACUUGAUAGGUACUAGCCCAUCUUAAACAUCACAGCUCAGGAUUGGAGCAGAUGAAUAAAUAGAAAUGAAAAGAGUAUACAUGAACUUGUAGAAAAUACCUUUCCCAGCCACUAAGUCAUACUUCAAAGGCUUUUUCAGUAAACCAGUGCAACAGAGGUUCAGAUGUUAACUGUUUGUUAUGGAGAGUCUAAAUUAGGGGCUCCCAAACUGUGGUCCAUGGACCACCAGUGGUCCACAAGCUUCAUUCAGAUGGUUUGUGGCAUGUCUGCAUUAAAUAUAAUGAUUUUUAUUGCUUCUUUUAUUUCUUAUAUGGCAUUUUAUUGUAUUACAGUUUAAAUUAUAUGGAAUACAAAUUAUAAUACAAUAAAAUACAAUAUACAAAAUAAAAGAAGCAAAAUACAAUUUAAAAAAUCAUAUAGCAUCUAACACAGCAUAUUACAAUUGCUACAACAGUCAGAAAAAUCAUUAAGUGAACCACAAAGACCAGCAGUGCUUUUUGAGUGGACUAUGGUGAAAAAAAGUUUGGAACUGUUGGUCUAGAAUGAUGUUGGAAGAAUAUCGCAUUUUCACAGCACACAUCAUACACAUAAUAAACCUUUACAAACUUGAGCAAGGCUUCUUUUCCAGCCAAUUUGUGAACUUUUUCAUUAAUACUUUAAGAUCUGGAUAUGUUUUUCUCUUCCUACAGCAAUAAACACAGACUUCUAAUUUUUUAAAAAAGAUGUGAAUCAGAUAAAGCCACCACCAACUCAAUGGACUGCUUUCAAGUCAAUUCCAACUUAUGGCGACCCUACAAAUAGGGUUUUCAUGGUAAGCAGUAUUCAGAGGGGGUUUACCAUUGCCUUCCUCUGAGGAUGAGAGGCAGUGACUGGCCCAAGGUCACCCAGUGAGCUUCAUGGCUGUGUGGGGAUUCGAACCCUGGUCUCCCAGGUGGUAGUCCAACACCUUAAAAUGAAACCCUCCUGCUCUAUCCAUCUAAUCAUGGUCAGCAUUCUAACUCUGCAUAGGCAAGAUCUAAUAGGAGACUUUUCAGUGUUGGCUCAGUCAGACCUUGUGGGAUGCUUUGUCACCUUCAACACAUCUUUUAAAAAUUAAGCCAUCCUCAACAGAACUUCCACACCAUACAUUUAAAGCACUCUUUUAUCACUUUAACAGUCAUGGCUUUCCCCCAAGGAAUCCUGGGAAUUAUAGCUUGUUAAGGGUGCUGCCCCUCACACCAGUUACCUCUCACAACUUCUUGCCCACCCCACCAACACUACCACCAUAUCCAGCAAUCAUGAGAUAAAUUUGAGGCUCAAUUUAUCUAGUAAUUAAUAUUUCAGGCUAUUGUAA
Long non-coding RNA from Rhineura floridana, 2242 nucleotides. RefSeq lists it as uncharacterized. NCBI's taxonomy places the organism in Eukaryota, Metazoa, Chordata, Lepidosauria, Squamata, Rhineuridae. The transcript is spliced from 2 exons. The record is from RefSeq and is a predicted model, not a curated record.